This 466-nucleotide ribosomal RNA is filed under the name uncultured bacterium. RNAcentral describes it as "partial 16S ribosomal RNA". It matches the Rfam family "Bacterial small subunit ribosomal RNA", at positions 29 to 506 of the family's 1533-position model. The record is from RNAcentral.
ACGAACGCUGGCGGCGUGCUUAACCCAUGCCAGUCGAACGGAAAGGCCCUGCUUUUGUGGGGUGCUCGAGUGGCGAACGGGUGAGUAACACGUGAGUAACCUGCCCUUGACUUUGGGAUAACUUCAGGAAACUGGGGCUAAUACCGGAUAGGAGCUCCUGCUGCAUGGUGGGGGUUGGAAAGUUUCGGCGGUUGGGGAUGGACUCGCGGCUUAUCAGCUUGUUGGUGGGGUAGUGGCUUACCAAGGCUUUGACGGGUAGCCGGCCUGAGAGGGUGACCGGCCACAUUGGGACUGAGAUACGGCCCAGACUCCUACGGGAGGCAGCAGUGGGGAAUAUUGCACAAUGGGCGGAAGCCUGAUGCAGCAACGCCGCGUGCGGGAUGACGGCCUUCGGGUUGUUAACCGCUUUCGCCUGUGACGAAGCGUGAGUGACGGUAAUGGGUAAAGAAGCACCGGCUAACUACGU